This 796-nucleotide ribosomal RNA is filed under the name uncultured archaeon. RNAcentral's name for it is "bacterial SSU rRNA". It matches the Rfam family "Archaeal small subunit ribosomal RNA", at positions 1 to 771 of the family's 1478-position model. The record is from RNAcentral.
UUCGCCCUUGGUUGAUCCUGCCGGACCUCACUGCUAUCGGGGUGGGACUAAGACAUGCGAGUCGAGCGUCUCUAGCUAUGUUGAGACGCGGCAGACGGCUCAGUAACACGUGGCUAACCUACCUUCAGGACGAGGGUAAACCCGGGAAACUGGGGCUAAUACUCGAUAGGUGAGGAUGUCUGGAAUGACUUCCCAUCCAAAGGGCAUUGGAAACAUGCUUUCAAUGUCGCCUGGGGAUGGGGCCGCGUCCGAUCAGGUUGUUGGUGAGGUAACGGCUCACCAAGCCUAUAACCGGUACGGGCCGUGAGAGCGGUAGCCCGGAGAUGGGUACUGAGACAAGGACCCAGGCCCCACGGGGCGCAGCAGUCGCGAAAACUCCGCAAUGCACGAAAGUGUGACGGGGCUACCCCGAGUGCCAUCCGCUGAGGGUGGCUUUUCUUUGGUAUAACUAGCCAUGGGAAUAAGGAGAGGGCAAGACUGGUGUCAGCCGCCGCGGUAAUACCAGCUCUCCGAGUGGUAGGGAUGAUUAUUGGGCUUAAAGCGUCCGUAGCCGGCUUAGCAAGUCUCCUGUUAAAUUCAGCGACCUAAUCGUUGACCCGCGGGAGAUACUACUAGGCUAGGAGGCGGGAGAGGUCGACGGUACUUCUGGGGUAGGGGUGAAAUCCUAUAAUCCCGGGAGGACCACCAGUGGCGAAGGCUGUCGACUAGAACGCGCUCGACGGUGAGGGACGAAAGCUGGGGGAGCGAACCGGAUUAGAUACCCGGGUAGUCCCAGCCGUAAACGAUGCGAGCUAGG